GACGAACGCUGGCGGCGUGCCUAAUACAUGCAAGUAGAACGCUGAAGGCGGAGCUUGCUUCUCUGGAUGAGUUGCGAACGGGUGAGUAACGCGUAGGUAACCUGCCUGUUAGCGGGGGAUAACUUUUGGAAACGAUAGCUAAUACCGCAUAAUAGUAGAUGUCGCAUGACAUUUGCUUAAAAGGUGCAAUUGCAUCACAACCACAUGCACCUGCGUUGUAUUAGCUAGUUGGUGAGGUAACGGCUCACCAAGGCAACGAUACAUAGCCGCCCUGAGAGGGGGAUCGGCCACACUGGGACUGAGACACGGCCCAGCCUCCUACGGGAAGCAGCAGUAGGCAUUCUUCGGCAAUGGACGGAAGUCUGACCAAGCCACGCCGCGUGAGGGAAGAGGGUUGUCGGAUCGGAAAGCUCGGUUGUAAGAGAAGAACGAGUGUGAGAGUGGAAAGUUCACACUGUGACGGUAUCUUACCAGAAAGGGACGGCUAACUACGUG
This 495-nucleotide ribosomal RNA is filed under the name uncultured bacterium. RNAcentral's name for it is "partial 16S ribosomal RNA". It matches the Rfam family "Bacterial small subunit ribosomal RNA", at positions 28 to 507 of the family's 1533-position model. The record is from RNAcentral.